This 253-nucleotide unclassified non-coding RNA is filed under the name uncultured Alphaproteobacteria bacterium. RNAcentral describes it as "contains 16S-23S intergenic spacer region". It matches the Rfam family "Bacterial small subunit ribosomal RNA", at positions 524 to 776 of the family's 1533-position model. The record is from RNAcentral. Lineage: Bacteria; Pseudomonadati; Pseudomonadota; Alphaproteobacteria.
UACGGAGGGGGCUAGCGUUGUUCGGAAUCACUGGGCGUAAAGCGCGCGUAGGCGGUCCCUUAAGUCUGAUGUGAAAGCCCACGGCUCAACCCCGGAAUUGCGCCCGAAACUGCUGCGCUGGAGUGCGGGAGAGGGUGGUGGAAUUCCCAGUGUAGAGGUGAAAUUCGUAGAUAUUGGGAAGAACACCGGAGGCGAAGGCGGCCAUCUGGCCCGUGACUGACGCUGAGGCGCGAAAGCGUGGGGAGCAAACAGG